RNAcentral lists this ribosomal RNA (508 nucleotides) under uncultured Tulasnella. RNAcentral's name for it is "LSU rRNA". It matches the Rfam family "Bacterial large subunit ribosomal RNA", at positions 1718 to 2107 of the family's 2925-position model. Lineage: Eukaryota; Fungi; Basidiomycota; Agaricomycetes; Cantharellales; Tulasnellaceae. The record is from RNAcentral.
CAAAUUAUCCUCAUAAGUUAGACGAUAUGAAGAACCAUUGAGUUAUUAUUUCUUUAUUUAUUUAUAAUAAACAAGUUUCUCUUCUGUACUCACAAGGUAUAAAAUGAAAACCGAAUUUAUUAUUUUUAAUUUGAUCAAAUCAAAAAAAGAUGAGAUUUAAAGAGUAAAACUCCGGUGGUGUCACAAAAUCGGAGGCCCCGACUGUUUACUUAAAACACAGCUUUCUGCGACGAAUAAUAUCUUUGUAUAGAAAGCGAAUUUUGCCCAAUGCCAUUAAUAUAAAAUUGAUAAGCGCAUAGCGUAUUUAUUGAUUGAAGUUCUGGUCAAUGGCGGUCUUAUCUAUGAGGAUCCUAAGGUAGCAAAANUAAUUGUCCAUUAAAUGUGGUCCUGACUGAAUAAAGUAACGAUGGUCUCACUGUCUCUACAAGUAUCUCAGUGAAAUUGAAUUAGCCGUGCAGAUGCGGUUUAACUUCGGGUAGACGGGAAGACCCUAUGCAGCUUCUACUGA